CCCUUAGAUGUUCUGGGCUGCACACGUGCUACACUGGCAGGUUCAGCGAGCUUCAUGCCCUGAUCUGAAAGGAAUGGGAAAUCUUUUCAAAACCUGCCGUGCUUGGGAUAGAUGUUUGCAAUUAUUCAUCUUCAACGAGGAUUGCCUUGUAAGCGCACGUCAUCAGCGUGCAUUGAAUACGACCCUGUAUUCUGUACACACCGCCCGUCGCUCCUACCGAUUGAAGUUUUCGGUGAGUUGACAGGAGGAUUUUUUUGAAACUGGUUCGCCAGUGGAUUUUAGAUCCAAAUGCCAACGAAUCGAUAGCUUUAGAGGAAGGAGAAGUCGUAACA
Molecule: ribosomal RNA, 332 nt
Filed under: uncultured eukaryote
Lineage: Eukaryota
Description: partial 18S ribosomal RNA
Rfam family: Eukaryotic small subunit ribosomal RNA
Source: RNAcentral